ACGACGCGGCAGGCUUCAUACAUGCAAGUCGAACGAUUAAAGCUCCUUCGGGAGUGUAUAAAGUGGCAAACGGGUGAGUAACAGGUGGAUAAUCUGCCCUUUGGCGGGGGAUAACGGUUGGAAACGGCCGCUAAUACCGCAUGUGAUUGCUAGUUCUUCGGAACCUGCAAAGAAAGGCGCUUCACGGCGCCGCCAAAGGAUGAGUCCGCCCCCCAUUAGCUAGUUGGUAAGGUAACGGCUUACCAAGGCUUCGAUGGGUAGCCGAGCUGAGAGGUUGAUCGGCCACACUGGGACUGAGAUACGGCCCAGACACCUACGGGUGGCAGCAGUAGGGAAUAUUGCGCAAUGGACGAAAGUCUGACGCAGCCAUGCCGCGUGAGUGAUGAAGGCCUUCGGGUCGUAAAGCUCUUUUCUGAGGGAAGAACAUCCGGUGCAGGAAAUGGCACCGGCUUGACGGUACCUCAGGAAUAAGGAGCGGCUAACUCCGUGCCAGCAGCCGCGGUAAUACGGAGGUUCCAAGCGUUGUUCGGAUUUACUGGGCGUAAAGGGAGCGCAGGCGGAAAGAUCAGUCUGAAGUGGAAUCCCGGGGCUCAACCUCGGAAGUGCUUUGGAUACUGUCUUUCUUGAGUCAGUGAGAGGAGAGCGGAAUUCAGGGUGUAGCGGUGAAAUGCUUAGAUAUCCUGAGGAACACCAAUGGCGAAAGCAGCUCUCUGGUGCUUGACUGACGCUGAGGCUCGAAAGCGUGGGUAGCGAACGGGAUUAGAUACCCCGGUAGUCCACGCCGUAAACGUUGUGCACUAGGUGUAGGAGGUAUCGACCCCUUCUGUGCCGCAGCUAACGCAAUAAGUGCACCGCCUGGGGAGUACGCACGCAAGUGUGAAACUCAAAGGAAUUGACGGGGGCCCGCACAAGCGGUGGAGCAUGUGGUUUAAUUCGAGGCAACGCGAAGAACCUUACCCAGGCUUGACAUCUCGAGACCGCCGUGGAAACACGGUUUCCCCUUCGGGACUUGGAGACAGGUGUUGCAUGGCCUGUCGUCAGCUCGUGUCGUGAGAUGUGGGGUUAAGUCCCGCAAUGAGCGCAACCCCUGUCCUAGUUACCAGCGGUUCGGCCGGUCCUCUAGAGACUGCCGUGAUAGCCGAGAGGUGGGACGACGUCAGUCAUCAUGGCCCUUACCGCCUGGGGGCCUACCCACCCGUGUCU
RNAcentral lists this ribosomal RNA (1203 nucleotides) under uncultured prokaryote. RNAcentral describes it as "partial 16S ribosomal RNA". It matches the Rfam family "Bacterial small subunit ribosomal RNA", at positions 33 to 1227 of the family's 1533-position model. The record is from RNAcentral.